ACCCCUUAGUGGAAUUUAAAAUCAAUCAUAAAAAAUUUCAAGGUAUCGUAGAUACUGGGGCAGAUAAAUCUGUUUUAUCGGGCGGAUUUUGGCCCAAAAGCUGGCCUUUAUAUAUUGCAUCUGCCAAUUUAGAAGGCAUAGGACAGAUCUCUCAACCUGCUCAGAGUGCCCAGUAUCUUUGCUGGGAAGACCGAGAUGGAAAUACUGGAAUUUUCAAGCCUUAUGUUUUAGACACGUUACCGGUAAAUUUAUGGGGUAGAGAUAUCCUCAGCAGCUUAGGAUUAUUAUUAGUAACUCCAAAUUCUAUCAUGUCAUUUGAGGGACUUAAUCAAGGAUUUACUCCUAGGGAAAUUUACAGGAAGAGUACCUACCCAUGACCCCAUCUCCCCAACAGAGAUUAAUUAAUGCACCCAGCCAAAAUUUUUGGUAGGGACCCUGACCUUUUCCCCCAACCCAAAGAACAGCAGAAGAAAUUAACUGGCUCACAGAACAGCCAAUUUGGGUUACUCAGUGGCCCCUAACAGGGGAAAAACUUAAAAUAGCCCACAUGUUAGUUGAGGAACAACUUCAGAUGGUCAUUUAGAUUCUACACUCAGCCCUUGGAACACACCCAUCUUUGUAAUUAAGAAAAAAUCUGGUAACUGGAAAUUAUUACAAGACCUUAGAGCUGUUAAUCAUGUUAUAGAGCCCAUGGGAGCAUUACAAUCUGAGCUUCCUU
RNAcentral lists this long non-coding RNA (718 nucleotides) under Marmota monax (woodchuck). The record is from RNAcentral. Lineage: Eukaryota; Metazoa; Chordata; Mammalia; Rodentia; Sciuridae.